Molecule: transfer RNA, 72 nt
Filed under: Capra hircus (goat)
Lineage: Eukaryota; Metazoa; Chordata; Mammalia; Artiodactyla; Bovidae
Also listed under: 1 other name
Rfam family: tRNA
About the family: Transfer RNA (tRNA) molecules are approximately 80 nucleotides in length. Their secondary structure includes four short double-helical elements and three loops (D, anti-codon, and T loops).
Source: Rfam by way of RNAcentral
UCCCUAGUGGCUUAGCUGGUAAAGAAUCUGUCUGCAGUGCAGGAGACCUGGGUUCGAUCCCUGGGUUGGGAA